Molecule: ribosomal RNA, 434 nt
Filed under: uncultured Lachnospiraceae bacterium
Lineage: Bacteria; Bacillati; Bacillota; Clostridia; Lachnospirales; Lachnospiraceae
Description: partial 16S ribosomal RNA
Rfam family: Bacterial small subunit ribosomal RNA
Source: RNAcentral
ACGGGAGGCAGCAGUGGGGAAUAUUGCACAAUGGGGGAAACCCUGAUGCAGCGACGCCGCGUGAGUGAAGAAGUAUUUCGGUAUGUAAAGCUCUAUCAGCAAGGAAGAAAAUGACGGUACUUGACUAAGAAGCCCCGGCUAACUACGUGCCAGCAGCCGCGGUAAUACGUAGGGGGCAAGCGUUAUCCGGAUUUACUGGGUGUAAAGGGAGCGUAGACGGUAAGGCAAGUCUGAAGUGAAAUGCAGGGGCUCAACCCCUGAACUGCUUUGGAAACUGUCAAACUAGAGUGCAGGAGAGGUAAGUGGAAUUCCUAGUGUAGCGGUGAAAUGCGUAGAUAUUAGGAGGAACACCAGUGGCGAAGGCGGCUUGCUGGGCUCUAACUGACGCUGAGGCUCGAAAGUGUGGGGAGCAAACAGGAUUAGAUACCCUGGUA